RNAcentral lists this ribosomal RNA (253 nucleotides) under uncultured bacterium. RNAcentral's name for it is "partial 16S ribosomal RNA". It matches the Rfam family "Bacterial small subunit ribosomal RNA", at positions 524 to 776 of the family's 1533-position model. The record is from RNAcentral.
UACAGGGGUCUCAAGCGUUGUUCGGAUUCAUUGGGCGUAAAGCGCGUGUAGGCGGCCCGGUAAGUCCGCUGUGAAAGUCGGGGGCUCAACCCUCGAAUGCCGGUGGAUACUGUCGGGCUCGAGUACGGAAGAGGCGAGUGGAAUUCCUGGUGUAGCGGUGAAAUGCGCAGAUAUCAGGAGGAACACCGAUUGCGAAGGCAGCUCGCUGGGACGUUACUGACGCUGAGACGCGAAAGCGUGGGGAGCAAACAGG